This is a long non-coding RNA of Xiphophorus couchianus (Monterrey platyfish), 515 nucleotides long. RefSeq lists it as uncharacterized. NCBI's taxonomy places the organism in Eukaryota, Metazoa, Chordata, Actinopteri, Cyprinodontiformes, Poeciliidae. The transcript has 5 exons. The record is from RefSeq and is a predicted model, not a curated record.
CCUAUUAUUUUGUUGCCGAAAAGCGGCUUGAACUGACGUAACGCGCCCUUUAAAUACUCCUGUCGCACAUCGUGAGGUUCUCUUUUCUCCGUCUGCUGAUCUAUAGACGUUUCGGUCCAAAUUCGAGCAAUGAGUAAAAGUUCAGAGCUGGACCAUAAUGCCAGUGAACCUCCCAGUCACUUACUGGUCCACAGACUGGAGCAUCUGGUGCUGGGGAUGACCUUUAACCCUUAACCUGUCGACCUCGAAGUCCUUAGAUGUAAUGUAAUGGAUAAGCCAGCUGGGUUCAGCCAUCGGCCAUCUUUAAUGAGGUCUCGGCGUCUCUGAGGUCUAUCCCGACGGGCCCUUCAUGUAGGGCCAAGUCGUUGGAAAUGCCUCAAAGAGGAAAUCUGUGGUUUCGCUUUACCCAGGUGUUCUGCUGUGAGCAUUAUGGGAUACAACUUCAGGACAACAACAUGAUGACAAGCUUCAGAAAGACGGAUUAUCGACCAGAUUUAACAGAGACGUGUGUUUCA